Molecule: long non-coding RNA, 2137 nt
Organism: Cylas formicarius (sweet potato weevil)
Lineage: Eukaryota; Metazoa; Arthropoda; Insecta; Coleoptera; Brentidae
Exons: 3
Source: RefSeq, a predicted model, not a curated record
GAUAGAUCGGUAUAUAUAAGUAGAAGGCAGCGUCAUAACCUGGAAGUCAGAGAAAAUGGGCUUGCAGUGGGCAAUCGGGUUGGCACCGCAGAGCACCCGCACAGCCUUCUUUUGCAAACGAAAAGCUCUUUCCGUAUAUCCAACCCCACCCCAAAGCACAAUGCCAUAAGACAGCACACUAUGAAAAAGCCCAAAAUAGGCUAUCCUAAGGGCCGCCGGGGUUAGACAAUGGCUGAGAUGUCUCAGUAGGAACAGUCGCCGAGACAACGUUGCACAGACCUCAUGAAUCUGGCCUGACCAUGACAGAGUCCUGUCAAUUACGAAUCCCAAGAGGGUUAUAUUAUUUUGAUACAGAUAGUCGACUUUACUGCAGGAGAAGGUAAGUUCUUGAGUUUUUUGUUUAUUGAGGACUAAGUUAUUUGCAGAAAACCAUUGCUGGAGAACAUUUGUUGCUACGCUGACAUCUUCACUAAGCAUUCGUUGAUGCUUAGCUGUUAACAGAAUGGCAGUGUCGUCAGCAAACAAGGUGACAUUCGCAUCUGGCACGGACAAUGGCAGAUCAUUUAUAUAAAUGAUGAAGAGCAACGGCCCAAGAACCGAGCCCUGUGGGACACCGCAGCUCACUGGAAGAGCAUCAUCACUCGACACUCCACCAAACUCAACAUACUGAAACCUGUUACUAAGAUACGAUUUUAUUAACUUUAGAGGGAUACCUCUGACGCCAUAAAAUUUUAAUUUGUUUAAGAGCACAUCGUGAUCGACGCAGUCAAACGCUUUCGUAAGGUCGUACAGAAGUGCCUUUGAUACGUCGCCAGCAUCGAAACCCCGCACCACACUGUUCACAAAGUGCAUAAGUGCAUGGGUCGUGGAUUUCCCCUCACGAAAGCCAAACUGCGAUUCACACAGAAGUUUAUUUUCCUCAAAAAACAGUGACAGGCGAGCCUUCAGGGCUUUCUCAAUGACUUUACCGAAUAUAGGGGUAAUUGCAAUGGGCCUAAAGUUAUUUGGUGUAUGUUGAUCGUCUUUUUUGUGAAUUGGAAUUAUUUUUGAAAGUUUUAGAUCCGAAGGAAAUACACCACUCGAAAACACUGCGUUCGUUAUGGCUGCCAGGGGACCCACGAUGUACUCAAUGGUGUGUUUCAAUAUUUUUGAAUUUAAGCCGAAGCAAUCGGUAGAACUUGAGUUGUUUAGACCCAUAAUAAUGCCAUACAUCUCACUCUCAGAGACCGGGCUUAAGAAGAAAGAUUUACACGGAGAGGGUGUUUUCGUAAGGUACACAUAUGGGUCACUGGAUUUCCCAAUGGAUGAUACUAGGUCAUUUACUACAUUGGAGAAUUAGCAUUAGCCAGUCUAUACUCAGCCCAACUGUCGCGUGGGGAAAAUAUUCGACACUUGGCUUUUAAAAGCAUCACGUGAUCCCUCAUAAGUUUGAGGUCACGAUUGAACCAGACCACGGGGGGACGGAAGGAAUUACUGCGCUUUACGACUUUAAAGUGAUUCUGGAUAUUGGCGGUGAAGAUAUGAAGCAGUUCUUUUGUUGAGUUGAUCGGAUCGGCGUUAGUAUUAAUAAAAGGUUCCCAAUCGGUGCUCUCAAAACUUGUGCAGAGGUUAUUCAGACCCGCCCGGGUAAUUGGUCUGAAUUGAAUAUGGUCAUCGUGCACAGAGGAAACAUCAAAGUGUAAUUCCAUAAAAACAGCGGAAUGAUCAGAGAGUGCUGGAUCCUCACUGCCCGCAGUGAACAGAGUGGGGGAUAUAUUGACAAGGAAAUUAUCAAUGCAACUUGACGUAGUUUCAGUUAUACGGGUAUGGUCAGCGACACUAGGGGAGAUUCCAAAGGUGGCAAAGUAGAGGUCAUUUAAAAGAAGUUCUAGCCUGGAUAUAAAUAGAUAAGGGUCGCCGUGGCUCCCCGAUCUAUAUACAUUGAUAACUACGGUAUUUUUGUGGGUUAAUUCAAUGCCGCAAAAUUCGGCAUGGAUGUCUAGUGAGUAUUUAUCUAAAUCUAAAGUUCUACAGUUGACUUUGUGUUUGCUAUAAAUUGAUACGCCCCCUCUGACCGCAGUCUGACGGCAUCGAAAGCUUUUCAAUAGAAAAUUAUUUACACAUAUUGAUUUUAAAAGUUCUUCAUCACAGACAAAGU